Molecule: RNA transcript, 1296 nt
Organism: Papaver somniferum (opium poppy)
Lineage: Eukaryota; Viridiplantae; Streptophyta; Magnoliopsida; Ranunculales; Papaveraceae
Exons: 2
Source: RefSeq, a predicted model, not a curated record
UUUGACAUAUGGGUUUUAAAUAAGAAUAAAAAUAGUCAUGAUGCGAUUUGGAGUAAAGAGUUCAGUAAUAUCAAUGGCAAACCAUUCUCCUUUACAAAGAGUGGUGGGCUUCUAUGUUACGAUCAUCGUGAAAGAAAUGUCUAUCCUUACGCUCCAAAAGCUUCAUCUUCAAGAAUGCUUGGGAAUGUUGGAAAGAAUUUUAAAUCUGGAGUCCCUCACAAGAACACCUUAGUGUCACUGAAAGCAUUAGGGGAAGAAGAUACGAAACUUAUGGAUUCAAGUGAAAGAGUAACAUCUUGUGGGGAACAAGAAACCAGUGAUCUUUCUCCAACAGAAAACAAGGAAGAAAUAGAUCUCUAAACGAAGAUAUAGCGGUCUUUGCUGGCUACUUCCAGGAAAGUGGAGUAAUAUCUUGGUGGAAAGUCAAGCGCAACACUUAGAGAUUUCUAUGCCACAGUGCAAUCAGUCUUACAACCGGGAGAGAGGGGAUCCUGGGUUUCUGCACGAUUAAAAGGGCCAAUUAAUAUCGAUGGUAAUGGGAAAACAUCCCUUCCGUCAACUUUUCCGUUUUUUCCUUUCAAGGUUUGCAACUUUUGUAUAUUAGGCUAUGUCACCAUUAGCAAUACUUGCCAAUGUAUGUCUCCUAAGAGAAGGUUCAGUUUGGGGUCCCCAAGAACACGGCUUAUCCCCCUUAAUCUUUAGAAAAGUAGCAUCCAUAGUUGCAGAAUCUAUUUGGUUCCAAAUUGUGCUAGGUUACUGAGUUUAGUCAAGUACUUCUUUCGUGAUCAACUAUCUGUAUGUAUAAAUGGUGAUUGUAGCUUUUAGUAAUAGUAACUCAAUAAGUUUAGCUGAAUAAGAUGCUUUCAUGUGUUCUCUGGCUGUUGGUGAAAUACAAUGAAGCUUAGUAUUGUGUUGGAAUACUUUAUGUUGAUUUUAAGGGAACAAGGAAGUUAAGUUCUACUACAAUGUUCUAUGACUGUACAACUGGGAUUAUGCAGCACAAUCAAAUAUUCAGUAGCUAACUCUAAUGGAGGUAAUGGAAUGAAUGGCUUUGUUAGAAAGAAUAAGGAAAGAAUGGGUUUGUUCAAAGGGGUAUUGGGUUUAUAUAGACAGUGCUGAAGCAAUCUAAAUAUGGAAUUUCAAAGGAAAGAGCGGUCCUGGUGAUGCAUGGAAAGUCUCUUGUGAAAGUGAUGGAAGCAAAGAAGUAAACUGGAGAAAGCCAAUAUUAUGUAUGCAAAAAUAGGGAAGUUUCCUGCAGAUGUUUUUGGAGUUAUUAGUCUACCAAAUUGCGUUUUC